GAGAACCGGCGGCGAGUCGGAUUUCGAGUAAGAAUUUGAACCGGAAAACAAUCCGAUAAUGGACGUGGUGUUGGAGAGGCAGCUAGGGUUUAUCGAAGCGGAGGUAUCGUAAGGGCUGAGCAGUGAUCUCCAUAGAACUAUCAGGGAGAUUAGAACGAGCCUUGAAAUGAAAGCGUAUUUGAGAACGAGACGAGUGUGGUGAUGAUGGAUAUCGGCGGUGGAUUUUCCGGCCAUUUUACCGGCGGCGGAGAAAGGAGGUUAACGGCGGACGGCAGCUUUAUUUAGGACGCG
This 291-nucleotide unclassified non-coding RNA is filed under the name Hevea brasiliensis (rubber tree). The record is from RNAcentral. Lineage: Eukaryota; Viridiplantae; Streptophyta; Magnoliopsida; Malpighiales; Euphorbiaceae.